Molecule: ribosomal RNA, 465 nt
Filed under: uncultured bacterium
Lineage: Bacteria
Description: partial 16S ribosomal RNA
Rfam family: Bacterial small subunit ribosomal RNA
Source: RNAcentral
GACGAACGCUGGCGGCGUGCUUAACACAUGCAAGUCGAACGGAAAGGCCCUGCUUGCAGGGUACUCGAGUGGUGAACGGGUGAGUAACACGUGGGUGAUCUGCCCUGCACUUCGGGAUAAGCCUGGGAAACUGGGUCUAAUACCGGAUAGGAGCCAUUUUUAGUGUGAUGGUUGGAAAGUUUUUUCGGUGUAGGAUGAGCUCGCGGCCUAUCAGCUUGUUGGUGGGGUAAUGGCCUACCAAGGCGGCGACGGGUAGCCGGCCUGAGAGGGUGGACGGCCACAUUGGGACUGAGAUACGGCCCAGACUCCUACGGGAGGCAGCAGUGGGGAAUAUUGCACAAUGGGCGCAAGCCUGAUGCAGCGACGCCGCGUGGGGGAUGACGGCCUUCGGGUUGUAAACUCCUUUCGCUAGGGACGAAGCCUUUUGUGACGGUACCUAGAUAAGAAGCACCGGCUAACUACGUG